This 253-nucleotide ribosomal RNA is filed under the name uncultured bacterium. Its description in RNAcentral is "partial 16S ribosomal RNA". It matches the Rfam family "Bacterial small subunit ribosomal RNA", at positions 524 to 776 of the family's 1533-position model. The record is from RNAcentral.
UACGGGGGGGGCAAGCGUUGUUCGGAAUUACUGGGCGUAAAGGGUUCGUAGGUGGCUUGCUAAGUCAGACGUGAAAUCCCUCAGCUUAACUGGGGAACUGCGUCUGAUACUGGCGAGCUUGAGUGCAGGAGAGGAACGCGGAAUUCCAGGUGUAGCGGUGAAAUGCGUAGAUAUCUGGAGGAACACCGGUGGCGAAGGCGGCGUUCUGGACUGCAACUGACACUGAUGAACGAAAGCCAGGGGAGCAAACGGG